UACGGGGGGGGCAAGCGUUGUUCGGAAUUACUGGGCGUAAAGGGCUCGUAGGUGGCCAACUAAGUCAGACGUGAAAUCCCUCGGCUUAACCGGGGAACUGCGUCUGAUACUGGAUGGCUUGAGUUUGGGAGAGGGACGCGGAAUUCCAGGUGUAGCGGUGAAAUGCGUAGAUAUCAGGAGGAACACCAAUGGCGAAGGCAGCUCGCUGGGACGUGACUGACGCUGAGACGCGAAAGCGUGGGGAGCAAACAGG
Molecule: ribosomal RNA, 253 nt
Filed under: uncultured bacterium
Lineage: Bacteria
Description: partial 16S ribosomal RNA
Rfam family: Bacterial small subunit ribosomal RNA
Source: RNAcentral